UCCCUGGAGGACUAGUGGUUAGGCCUCUGUGCUCUCACCGCUGCAGCCUGGAUUCGAUUCCCGGCCAGGGAA
RNAcentral lists this transfer RNA (72 nucleotides) under Pangasianodon gigas (Mekong giant catfish). RNAcentral's name for it is "tRNA-Glu". It matches the Rfam family "tRNA". From Rfam's summary of the family: Transfer RNA (tRNA) molecules are approximately 80 nucleotides in length. Their secondary structure includes four short double-helical elements and three loops (D, anti-codon, and T loops). Further hydrogen bonds mediate the characteristic L-shaped molecular structure. tRNAs have two regions of fundamental functional importance: the anti-codon, which is responsible for specific mRNA codon recognition, and the 3' end, to which the tRNAs corresponding amino acid is attached (by aminoacyl-tRNA synthetases). tRNAs cope with the degeneracy of the genetic code in two manners: having more than one tRNA (with a specific anti-codon) for a particular amino acid; and 'wobble' base-pairing, i.e. permitting non-standard base-pairing at the 3rd anti-codon position. Lineage: Eukaryota; Metazoa; Chordata; Actinopteri; Siluriformes; Pangasiidae. The record is from RNAcentral.